CAGCAGCCGCGGUAAUACCGGCGGCCCGAGUGGCGGUCACUAUUAUUGGGCUUAAAGCGUCCGUAGCCGGGUUGGGAAGUCCUCCGGGAAAUCUGGCCGCUUAACGGUCAGAAUGCCGGAGGAUACUCCCAGCCUAGGGAGCGGGAGAGGCCGAGGGGAUUCCCGGAGGAGGGGGGAAAUCCUAUAAUCCCGGGAGGACCACCUGUGGCGAAGGCGCUCGGCUGGAACGCGUCCGACGGUGAGGGACGAAGGCCAGGGGAGCAAACCGGAUUAGAUACCCGGGUAGUCCUGGCGGUAAACGAUGCGGACUUUGUGUCGGACAAGCUAUGAGCUUGUCCGGUGCCGGAGGGAAACCGUUAAGUCCGCCGCCUGGGGAGUACGGCCGCAAGGCUGAAACUUAAAGGAAUUGGCGGG
RNAcentral lists this ribosomal RNA (414 nucleotides) under uncultured microorganism. RNAcentral describes it as "bacterial SSU rRNA". It matches the Rfam family "Archaeal small subunit ribosomal RNA", at positions 459 to 872 of the family's 1478-position model. The record is from RNAcentral.